AGUGAACGCUGGCGGUAGGCCUAACACAUGCAAGUCGAACGGCAGCACAGGAGAGCUUGCUCUCUGGGUGGCGAGUGGCGGACGGGUGAGGAAUACAUCGGAAUCUACUUUUUCGUGGGGGAUAACGUAGGGAAACCUACGCUAAUACCGCAUACGACCUACGGGUGAAAGCAGGGGACCUUCGGGCCUUGCGCGAUUGAAUGAGCCGAUGUCGGAUUAGCUAGUUGGCGGGGUAAAGGCCCUCCAAGGCGACGAUCCGUAGCUGGUCUGAGAGGAUGAUCAGCCACACUGGAACUGAGACACGGUCCAGACUCCUACGGGAGGCAGCAGUGGGGAAUAUUGGACAAUGGGCGCAAGCCUGAUCCAGCCAUACCGCGUGGGUGAAGAAGGCCUUCGGGUUGUAAAGCCCUUUUGUUGGGAAAGAAAUCCAGCUGGCUAAUACCCGGUUGGGAUGACGGUACCCAAAGAAUAAGCACCAGCUAACUUCGUGCCAGCCGCCGCCGUAA
Molecule: ribosomal RNA, 506 nt
Filed under: uncultured bacterium
Lineage: Bacteria
Description: partial 16S ribosomal RNA
Rfam family: Bacterial small subunit ribosomal RNA
Source: RNAcentral